Molecule: ribosomal RNA, 120 nt
Filed under: uncultured Clostridium sp.
Lineage: Bacteria; Bacillati; Bacillota; Clostridia; Eubacteriales; Clostridiaceae
Description: partial 16S ribosomal RNA
Rfam family: Bacterial small subunit ribosomal RNA
Source: RNAcentral
GCAGCAACGCCGCGUGAGCGAUGAAGGCCUUCGAGUCGUAAAGCUCUGUCCUAAGGGAAGAUAAUGACGGUACCUUAGGAGGAAGCCCCGGCUAACUACGUGCCAGCAGCCGCGGUAAUA